RNAcentral lists this long non-coding RNA (653 nucleotides) under Setaria italica (foxtail millet). RNAcentral's name for it is "long non-coding RNA (SITA_LNC003798)". Lineage: Eukaryota; Viridiplantae; Streptophyta; Magnoliopsida; Poales; Poaceae. The record is from RNAcentral.
UCGCUUAUUACCACUAAAAUUGUCAACACGACUGAGGAACUGUUCUUAAAAGGAAACAUUUAUACUUAGCAUGAUUUAGUAUACAUCAUAUGCGCAGGCACAGUACCAAGAAAAUUUUACAACAAACCGAUCAUAUAGUUAAAAAACAAAUUUAUACAUUAACAGAGUCAAAACUCAGAAGCUUCUUGGUGUGCAGUUGGUGUUUCUUCCCUUGGUGACUUCUCCAUUAUUUUUGGUGAAUAGCUCUUGCCAUCCAUUGCCCCCAAAAAAGAAAAAAACAGAAAAGUUCUGCAGUUUCUGAGAAAGGAUCUUGCUCGUUAAUUUGUUCACGGAGCUCCCCAUCCUAAUAAUAUCGUAGUACUGCAUGCCGGUGUAUCAGUGGGAGAAAUAUGUGACGAACAGCGCCGCGAACAUGAGCAAGUACGCGAUCGCCUGAUCAAUGGCCUUCGCAUCGAUCGCCCGCGCCGCCGUCGCUGCCGACGCCGGUUUGUCCUGCGCCAUGGAGAGCUGCAUGAGCCCCGAGAAGAAGAAGGCUGUGAACAGCAGCACGUAAACCUUCACGGCCACCAUCUUCGCUAGACUUGCUACAGUGUUGCAGCAGAAAGGAUGAGGAAAUGAUUUGCCAGAGAUGAUUGUAAUUUGGUGUUUAUAGC